UGACGUGGCGGCAGACUACACAUGCAGUCGAGCGGUAGCACAGGGGAGCUUGCUCCCCGGGUGACGAGCGGCGGACGGGUGAGUAAUGUCUGGGAAACUGCCUGAUGGAGGGGGAUAACUACUGGAAACGGUAGCUAAUACCGCAUAACGUCGCAAGACCAAAGAGGGGGACCUUCGGGCCUCUUGCCAUCAGAUGUGCCCAGAUGGGAUUAGCUAGUAGGUGGGGUAAUGGCUCACCUAGGCGACGAUCCCUAGCUGGUCUGAGAGGAUGACCAGCCACACUGGAACUGUAGACACGGUCCAGACUCCUACGGGAGGCA
RNAcentral lists this ribosomal RNA (320 nucleotides) under Serratia marcescens. RNAcentral's name for it is "bacterial SSU rRNA". It matches the Rfam family "Bacterial small subunit ribosomal RNA", at positions 37 to 350 of the family's 1533-position model. Lineage: Bacteria; Pseudomonadati; Pseudomonadota; Gammaproteobacteria; Enterobacterales; Yersiniaceae. The record is from RNAcentral.